This 479-nucleotide ribosomal RNA is filed under the name uncultured bacterium. RNAcentral's name for it is "partial 16S ribosomal RNA". It matches the Rfam family "Bacterial small subunit ribosomal RNA", at positions 28 to 507 of the family's 1533-position model. The record is from RNAcentral.
GACGAACGCUGGCGGCGUGCUUAACACAUGCAAGUCGAACGAAGCUUGAUUACGUAUUCUUCGGAUGAAGUAUGAUAUGACUGAGUGGCGGACGGGUGAGUAACGCGUGAGUAACCUGCCCUUCAGAGGGGGAUAGCGUUUGGAAACGAACGGUAAUACCGCAUAAUGUAUUUUGACCGCAUGAUCGAAAUACCAAAGAUUUAUCGCUGAAGGAUGGACUCGCGUCUGAUUAGGUAGUUGGUGGGGUAACGGCCUACCAAGCCGACGAUCAGUAGCCGGACUGAGAGGUUGAUCGGCCACAUUGGGACUGAGACACGGCCCAGACUCCUACGGGAGGCAGCAGUGGGGAAUAUUGCACAAUGGGCGCAAGCCUGAUGCAGCAACGCCGCGUGAAGGAAGACGGUUUUCGGAUUGUAAACUUCUGUUCUUAGUGAAGAAUAAUGACGGUAGCUAAGGAGCAAGCCACGGCUAACUACGUG